Molecule: long non-coding RNA, 1663 nt
Organism: Scylla paramamosain (green mud crab)
Lineage: Eukaryota; Metazoa; Arthropoda; Malacostraca; Decapoda; Portunidae
Exons: 5
Source: RefSeq, a predicted model, not a curated record
CCAGACAUUCUUAAUCUCUCGUCUCAGGUCGACUCACUCAACCCCGGAAGCAUCUUAGUGACGGAUCUCGUUGCAUGAGACCACACCACUGCUGCACAUUCCAGUCUCGGUCUUAUCGUGGAAUUUGACAAGUUUUUUAAGUCAUUCCUUCAUCCAGAUCUGAAAACGCUAUUGUCACUCUUAACAAAUUUGUCAUCUCUCCAGUAAUUUUAUCAGUGUGCGUCUGGAGUCAAAUUUUUCAGUAACUGUUCCCCACAAAUUCACUUUCUCAUUUGACUUGUUUAACUUGACACCUUCCAUCUCAUAAUGGUAGUUUUCUCUUCAUACUCUUGCCAAACUCAAAAUUACUUUCCACUGACAUCAGUUGAAUUCUAUUUGCCAAGAUUCACUCCAUCUAUCUUAUAUAAAAGUCAUCCUGCAAUCCCUGCAGUCAUCAACAUUUUCUACUCUUCUCAUCAGCUUAGCAUUAUCUGCAAACAAAUUCAUGUAACUGUCUGAAUCUUCAUAUAUGUCCACAUGUAUUACAAACAUUAUUGGACCCAACACUGACCCCUGUAGGAUGCCACCAGUUACUUUCAGCCAAGAUGAAUUCAGGUCUUGUAUCACAGUUCUCGUCUCUGUCAUCCACAUAACCCCCCUCCACUCCAGUUUUUCUUCAAUUCUUCCAUAAUUUUUUAUCUUUCAUGACAAUCUUGGUAACUGUCAAACGCUCUCUUCAAGUCUCAGCAGUCGCCAUCCACCUGUCCGUCUCUCUCCUGCACAGUGUCGACUACCCUUGGAUGAAACGACAGUAAUUUGGGGGAGCCUGGCCUUGCCCCUCUUAAAUUCAAAUUGACAGUUUACCAAAGCUUGAUCUCUGCCCAAAUAUUCCAUCCAUCUGUAUUGCUGUUUCUCCUAGUUUUCCUACAACUAGUCAAGAACACUGGUCUAUAAUUGAAAGACCAAGUUUUGCCUGGAGAGUGACCCGCUGCUUGGUGGAGCGAUGCCCCCAGAGGCCCCCAGACCAGCAUUCCACAAGUCUCUCUCAAGACAUCACCAACCACAGUCUGAAGAUGCAUGACGUGGCUCUGCGGCGGCACAGCGCCACAGGCUGGAGACUCCCGCUUCAUGGGGAACAGCAUGUCUGUCGGCAGCGAGUGGAGACGGGCGUUGGUGGUAGUGAACUCAGCAGUCCGUGUGUUCGCUGGGUUCAGACUGCACCCCACGUGCCCGUCGGUGCUUGACCAGACCACUCCUCUCACGCUCAGAUAAUAAUGGCAGCGAGGAGGCCGGACCUGUGAAGCGAGUGUGGCGGCGAGCCUUGCGGUGGAGUGUGAGUGGAAGAGGCCGGUGGAGGCGGCAGUCUGUGUGGCAGGGCUUUGGGAAGGGGGGGGAGUCUUGGCCUGGCCACCCUGCCUGUGACCUGUGGCCUCUUGUUGCUUCACCAUGUUAAGAGGGUGGUGCUGUGAAGCUGGAGGCACAGGAGCUGACCAGUGCUGCAGCAAGACAGCACACAGCAGCAGCAGCAGCAGCAGCAGCUCUCUGUGGGGGGAAGACAGCAUGUUGAGGCAAGACAGCCGCUUUGGAGGAGUGGACAGCUGCACCACCACCACCACCACCACCAAUGGAUUCUUUUACUACUGCUGCUGUUUGUCUCCUCGCAGCACAGCACCUGACUCUGGGG